RNAcentral lists this microRNA (22 nucleotides) under Ixodes scapularis (black-legged tick). Its description in RNAcentral is "Isc-Mir-5305_5p* (star (passenger))". Lineage: Eukaryota; Metazoa; Arthropoda; Arachnida; Ixodida; Ixodidae. The record is from RNAcentral.
UAAGUUAAUCUCCAAGCCCAAU